RNAcentral lists this ribosomal RNA (506 nucleotides) under uncultured bacterium. RNAcentral describes it as "partial 16S ribosomal RNA". It matches the Rfam family "Bacterial small subunit ribosomal RNA", at positions 29 to 523 of the family's 1533-position model. The record is from RNAcentral.
AGUGAACGCUGGCGGUAGGCCUAACACAUGCAAGUCGAACGGCAGCACAGAGGAGCUUGCUCCUUGGGUGGCGAGUGGCGGACGGGUGAGGAAUACAUCGGAAUCUACUCUGUCGUGGGGGAUAACGUAGGGAAACUUACGCUAAUACCGCAUACGACCUACGGGUGAAAGCAGGGGACCUUCGGGCCUUGCGCGAUUGAAUGAGCCGAUGUCGGACUCGCUAGUUGGCGGGGUAAAGGCCCACCAAGGCGACGACCCGUAGCUGGUCUGAGAGGAUGAUCAGCCACACUGGAACUGAGACACGGUCCAGACUCCUACGGGAGGCAGCAGUGGGGAAUAUUGGACAAUGGGCGCAAGCCUGAUCCAGCCAUACCGCGUGGGUGAAGAAGGCCUUCGGGUUGUAAAGCCCUUUUGUUGGGAAAGAAAUCCAGCUGGCUAAUACCCGGUUGGGAUGACGGUACCCAAAGAAUAAGCACCGGCUAACUUCGUGCCAGCAGCCGCCGCGG